GUCUACGGCCAUCCCACCCUGAACGUGCCCAAUCUCAUCUGAUCUCAGAAGCUAAGCAGGGUUGGGCCUGGUUAGUACUUGGAUGGGAGACCACCUAGGAAUACCAGGUACUGUAGGCA
Molecule: ribosomal RNA, 119 nt
Filed under: Pteropus alecto (black flying fox)
Lineage: Eukaryota; Metazoa; Chordata; Mammalia; Chiroptera; Pteropodidae
Source: RNAcentral